RNAcentral lists this ribosomal RNA (497 nucleotides) under uncultured bacterium. RNAcentral describes it as "partial 16S ribosomal RNA". It matches the Rfam family "Bacterial small subunit ribosomal RNA", at positions 28 to 507 of the family's 1533-position model. The record is from RNAcentral.
GACGAACGCUGGCGGCGUGCCUAAUACAUGCAAGUUGAGCGCUGAAGGUUGGUACUUGUACCGACUGGAUGAGCAGCGAACGGGUGAGUAACGCGUGGGGAAUCUGCCUUUGAGCGGGGGACAACAUUUGGAAACGAAUGCUAAUACCGCAUAAAAACUUUAAACACAAGUUUUAAGUUUGAAAGAUGCAAUUGCAUCACUCAAAGAUGAUCCCGCGUUGUAUUAGCUAGUUGGUGAGGUAAAGGCUCACCAAGGCGAUGAUACAUAGCCGGCCUGAGAGGGUGAUCGGCCACAUUGGGACGGAGACACGGCCCAAACUCCUACGGGAGGCAGCAGUAGGGAAUCUUCGGCAAUGGACGAAAGUCUGACCGAGCAACGCCGCGUGAGUGAAGAAGGUUUUCGGAUCGUAAAACUCUGUUGGUAGAGAAGAACGUUGGUGAGAGUGGAAAGCUCAUCAAGUGACGGUAACUACCCAGAAAGGGACGGCUAACUACGUG